Molecule: long non-coding RNA, 620 nt
Organism: Serinus canaria (Common canary)
Lineage: Eukaryota; Metazoa; Chordata; Aves; Passeriformes; Fringillidae
Exons: 3
Source: RefSeq, a predicted model, not a curated record
CUCCUGUCUGGUGCCAGGCAUGGGUGCUGUGGCUCCUGCAGGCACUGCACCAGUGCUGUUGGUGCUAUUGAUCUCUUGUCUCCCAGCUGUUCCCUGGCUGUGCUGCAGUCUAAAUCCUUCUGGCAGGCUUCAAGCAAGCAUGAUAAAUCCCAGCAAAGGAAAACACAACCUCCAAAAGCAGAGUGUACCUACCUGUGGAGUGGGAAUCACUUUAUCAGUUAUCUUCUCCAGGCUGUCUACAUUCCAUCUGCAAGCAAAGGAGAGAGGGAAGCAUUUCUAAAAGCUGAUUCAUCCCAUCCUGACUGUUUAAUGUAGGAUAACCACAAAAAGGGGUGCAGAGCAAAUGAUGUUUCUGAUCAGCAACAGGUAACACUGCCAGCCAUUGGAUCCUGCUGAAUAUCCACACAGAGGAUCACCAGCAUCUUGGAAAUCUCAUGAUACUUCAAAGCACAGACUGGCAUCAUGUUGCAUGGUGCCUAAAGGGUUCAAAUGGUUUGGAAGUUAAAUCACUUCCAUGGUUUCUGUGAUUUGCAUGUGAAAUUGAUUUUAUUGGAUUUAUUUGAUCAGGAAGCACUAGUGUUUCCCCAAGGAGUACAAAUAAACCUGUUACUAGAAACUGA